RNAcentral lists this ribosomal RNA (497 nucleotides) under uncultured bacterium. RNAcentral describes it as "partial 16S ribosomal RNA". It matches the Rfam family "Bacterial small subunit ribosomal RNA", at positions 28 to 507 of the family's 1533-position model. The record is from RNAcentral.
GAUGAACGCUGGCGGCGUGCCUAAUACAUGCCAGUCGAGCGAACAGACGAGGAGCUUGCUCCUCUGACGUUAGCGGCGGACGGGUGAGUAACACGUGGAUAACCUACCUAUAAGACUGGGAUAACUUCGGGAAACCGGAGCUAAUACCGGAUAAUAUAUUGAACCGCAUGGUUCAAUAGUGAAAGACGGUUUUGCUGUCACUUAUAGAUGGAUCCGUGCCGCAUUAGCUAGUUGGUAAGGUAACGGCUUACCAAGGCAACGAUGCGUAGCCGACCUGAGAGGGUGGUCGGCCACACUGGAACUGAGACACGGUCCAGACUCCUACGGGAGGCAGCAGUAGGGAAUCUUCCGCAAUGGGCGAAAGCCUGACGGAGCAACGCCGCGUGAGUGAUGAAGGUCUUCGGAUCGUAAAACUCUGUUAUUAGGGAAGAACAAAUGUGUAAGUAACUAUGCACGUCUUGACGGUACCUAAUCAGAAAGCCACGGCUAACUACGUG